GAGUUUGAUCUUGGCUCAGAUUGAACGCUGGCGGCAUGCUUUACACAUGCAAGUCGAACGGCAGCACGGGAGCUUGCUCCUGGUGGCGAGUGGCGAACGGGUGAGUAAUGCAUCGGAACGUAUCCUGGAGUGGGGGAUAACGUAGCGAAAGUUACGCUAAUACCGCAUAUUCUGUGAGCAGGAAAGCGGGGGACCUUCGGGCCUCGCGCUCUUGGAGCGGCCGAUGUCGGAUUAGCUAGUUGGUGAGGUAAAGGCUCACCAAGGCGACGAUCCGUAGCAGGUCUGAGAGGAUGAUCUGCCACACUGGAACUGAGACACGGUCCAGACUCCUACGGGAGGCAGCAGUGGGGAAUUUUGGACAAUGGGGGCAACCCUGAUCCAGCCAUGCCGCGUGAGUGAAGAAGGCCUCGGUUGUAA
RNAcentral lists this ribosomal RNA (417 nucleotides) under bacterium enrichment culture clone ALO1_GLFRUDD03HB8KU. Its description in RNAcentral is "bacterial SSU rRNA". It matches the Rfam family "Bacterial small subunit ribosomal RNA", at positions 9 to 428 of the family's 1533-position model. The record is from RNAcentral.